RNAcentral lists this non-coding RNA (21 nucleotides) under Arabidopsis thaliana (thale cress). The record is from RNAcentral. Lineage: Eukaryota; Viridiplantae; Streptophyta; Magnoliopsida; Brassicales; Brassicaceae.
CUGUAAAGUUCUGAUAGUGUC